UACAGAGGGGGCAAGCGUUGUUCGGAAUUACUGGGCGUAAAGGGCGCGUAGGCGGCCUUCUAAGUCGAACGUGAAAUCCCCGGGCUCAACCUGGGAACUGCCUUUGUGACUGCAUGGCUAGAGUACGGUAGAGGGGGAUGGAAUUCCGCGUGUAGCAGUGAAAUGCGUAGAUAUGCGGAGGAACACCGAUGGCGAAGGCAAUCCCCUGGACCUGUACUGACGCUCAUGCACGAAAGCGUGGGGAGCAAACAGG
RNAcentral lists this ribosomal RNA (253 nucleotides) under uncultured prokaryote. Its description in RNAcentral is "partial 16S ribosomal RNA". It matches the Rfam family "Bacterial small subunit ribosomal RNA", at positions 524 to 776 of the family's 1533-position model. The record is from RNAcentral.